This is a long non-coding RNA of Oncorhynchus tshawytscha (Chinook salmon), 2449 nucleotides long. Lineage: Eukaryota; Metazoa; Chordata; Actinopteri; Salmoniformes; Salmonidae. The record is from Ensembl.
ACCUACAGGUAAACAACUAGUCCACCUACAGGUAAACAACUAGUCCACCUACAGGUAAACAACUAGUCCACCUACAGGUAAUCAUGUCAACAACUAGUCCACCUACAGGUGAACAACACACCCCUGACAGGGCAUUCAGCAUUCACCUGUUGACACACUGAUGUCAACAUCAGCACAGUUGGAGAAACUGGAGAGAACAUGGCACAUCCACCAGGCAUGUUCAGGCAUAUUUAACAAGACACUCCAUCCACAGAUAACUUUACACAACACAUAACCACUAAUAACCCGUUCUGGCUUCAUGUACAGGGUAGAGGACAGUGAGGCAAUGGUAGUGAGAGAGAGAGAGAAGGAAAAGAGAGUGUGUGUAGCGUCCAGGCUAAAGUGCAUGUAUCAGAUGAGUCUCUCCUCCUUGGGCAGGGGCAGGCCUGGUCUCUCAGCCCCCCGUGGUCCGGUCUGUUUGCUCUCCUCCGCACUGGGCCGAUACAUUCCCUCCAUCCUUCUCUUCUUCCUGAUCACACAGCCCAUCAGGACCAGGGCCAGGCACAGCAGUAGGGCCAGGCCUGGGACUAACACAGACCACAACCCCCACGACGGCCUUGGUAACGACAACACCAUUUCCAUGACGACGGGCCCUGAGUCAGAGAGAGAGGAGGAGGAUGACAGAGAGAAGCAGGUACACAGGCAGACAGAUACACAGACCGUAGGCAGACAGAUACACAGACCGUAGGCAGACAGAUACAUAGACCGUAGGCAGACAGAUACACAGACCGUAGGUAGACAGAGACACAGACCGUAGGUAGACAGAUGUCUCACUCACCUGAGGGUUAGAGGAGACACUGCUGGUCUCUGCUCUCACAUCUGGACCAAUGGGGACACAGCAGCCAGACUGCCAGUGAGGGGUGCCUGUCUCUAGAGAGAGAGUGUAGGAGAGCAGCCAUGAGCCAGGCCGGUGAAUUCAGCCCCUUUGAGGCAGUGUGUCUGUCCAAGUCUACGGAACACAUCAGCAUAGAAACUAUGGCUGUGUUCGAUCCAAACCGCAAUGUAUCAUGGGUCAAUUCUGACCGACUGACUGAUCUACAAAUAAUAUUGAGUAGUUAUUUGUGAUCCAAGGUGAUUUGUAGAUUGGUCAGUCUCGACAGUCGGCUGCAAUGUCAAAAGUGUCCAGAGACAGUCUGAAACAACGUCUCUAAACCGGGUCCAGAUACAGUCUGAAACAACGUCUCUAAACCGGGUCCAGAUACAGUCUAAAACAGUGUCUCUAAACCUGGUCCAGAGACAGUCUAAAACAGUGUCUCUAAACCUGGUCCAGAUACAGUCUGAAACAGUGUCUCUAAACCAGGUCCAGAGACAGUCUAAAACAGUGUCUCUAAACCAGGUCCAGAAAGUGUCUCUAAACCAGGUACAGUCUAAAACAGUGUCUCUAAACCUGGUCCAGAUACAGUCUAAAACAGUGUCUCUAAACCAGGUCCAGAUACAGUCUGAAACAGUGUCUCUAAACUGGGUCCAGAGACUAGAGGUCGGCCCAUUAAUUAGGGCUGUAAUCAACAUUUUUAGACACCCAUUACAUUGCUCUCCACGAGGAGGCUGCAUGGCAGGCUGACCACCUGUUACGCGAGGGCAGCUAGGAGCCAAGGUAAUGUUAACAUAAAUCACUAGUUAACUACACAUGGUUGAUGAUAUUACUAGUUUAUCUAGCUUGUCCUGCGUUGCAUAUAAUCAAUGUGGUGCCUGUUCAUUUAUCAUCGAAUCACAGCCUACUUCACCAAACGGGUGAUAAUUUAUUAACAAGAGCAUUUGCGAAAAAAAGUAUACCUAAAUAUACCUAACAAUAAACAUCAAUGCCUUUCUUAAAAUCAAUACACAAGUAUAUAUUUUUAAACCUGCAUAUUUAGUUAAUAUUGCCUGCUAACAUUAAUUUAUUUUAACUAGGGAAAUUGUGUCACUUAUCCUGCGUUCUGUGUAGGCAGUCAGGGUAUAUGCAGCAGUUUGGGCCGCCUGGCUCGUUGCGAACUGUGUGAAGACCAUUUAGUCCUAACAAAGACUGUAAUUAAUUUGCCAGAAUUGUACAUAAUUAUGACAUAACAUUGAAGGUUGUAACAGCAUUAUUUACACUUAGGGAUGCCGCUGUUCGAUAAAAUGCAGAACGGUUCCGUAUUUCACUGAAAGAAUAAACGUUCUGUUUUCGAAAUGAUAGUGUCCGGAUUUGACCAUAUUAAUGACUUAAGGCUCGCAUUUCUGUGUGUUUAUUAUAUUAUAAAGUCUAUGAUUUGAUAGAGCAGUCUGACUGAGCGGUGGUAGGCACCAGCAGGCUCGUAAGCAUUAAUUCUAACAGCACUUUCCUGCAUUUGAAAGCAGCUCGUCGCUGUGCAUUGCACUGUUUAUGACUUCAAGCCUAUCAACUCCCCAUUAUUUAUUUGAGAUCAAAUUGAUUUUAUUUAUGUAUUAUAUU